GGUUACUUCUGCUUAAAUACCAUACCAAAGGUCAUUAGUUUACCGGUAAAUCUUUUACUUUAGAAACUAGUUCUCCUUAAGAAUUCUAAGAAUGUCUCUUCUGCAAGUCUGAAGUGAACACUGGCAUCAUAGAAUCUCUCCUUUAUCACACUGGGAGGGAUACCAGAAAGCAGGCAGAAAGCUGAGCAGUAGGGCACAGAGCCAAUUCAAAAACAUCCCUGCACCACCACGCCACCACUACCACCACCCCAUCCUCCAAACUGAGUUUCAGCACAAGGAGGAACAUGGCAACUACUGGUUUCAGAAAGAGAAUGAUUAGCCCAAAAGUGCUUUUUUGCAGUAUUGCAGUCAGACUACAGCCUCAAUGACAUCUGAGCAUUUUCUUAUGAAAAAUAACAACAGUCUUGGGAUAGAAGUAGCACACUCAAAAAGAGAGACGGGGUUUUGCCGUGUUGCCCAGGCUGGUCUCAAACUCCUGAGGUCAAGUGAUCCACCCAUCAAGCCUCCCAAAGUGCUGGCAUGAGCCACUGUGUCCAGCCUGUAAGAAAUUUCUUCAUAAGGUUCAAAUAAAGAGUAUUUGACUUUGUUAUGACCAUGGCCUGUUUGUUCCAAAUGUGACCAUCUUUCAGCAGCUCAUCUCUUUGUCUCUUCCCCAAUAGGAACUCCAAUUACUGAAGGAGCUUUGCAUAACUACAAUCUAAUGGUGAUGUGGUGGGGCGGGAGGGGCAUCUUUUUAACUAGCAGAACCCAACUUGCCAAAAUAGACAUGAACAUCUUUUCAUAAAGAUUAUUUUCUGGGGAAAAUCUUGGCAUAAGAAUCUAAAUACAAACUGCAUUCAGGACACUGACCUUUCUUAAAGUAAACGGCUAAGGGAAAAGUCAUACUUUCCAUGAGACCAGUGGGUCAUGU
Molecule: long non-coding RNA, 910 nt
Filed under: Homo sapiens (human)
Lineage: Eukaryota; Metazoa; Chordata; Mammalia; Primates; Hominidae
Description: HSALNT0408516
Source: RNAcentral